Molecule: ribosomal RNA, 279 nt
Filed under: uncultured bacterium
Lineage: Bacteria
Description: partial 16S ribosomal RNA
Rfam family: Bacterial small subunit ribosomal RNA
Source: RNAcentral
UGCGUCCCAUUAGGCAGUUGGCGGGGUAACGGCCCACCAACCGACGAUGGGUAGGGGUUCUGAGAGGAAAAUCCCCCACAUUGGAACUGAGACACGGUCCAAACUCCUACGGGAGGCAGCAGUGAGGAAUAUUGGUCAAUGGGCGGAAGCCUGAACCAGCCAAGUCGCGUGCGGGACGAAGGCCCUACGGGUCGUAAACCGCUUUUGUACGGGAAUAAAGUCAUCCACGCGUGGGUGUUUGUAGGUACCGUAAGAAUAAGGAUCGGCUAACUCCGUGCC